RNA transcript from Hippopotamus amphibius kiboko, 5656 nucleotides. It is a transcript of the gene named tropomodulin 3, with no coding region annotated. The record is from RefSeq and is a predicted model, not a curated record. The transcript is spliced from 11 exons. NCBI's taxonomy places the organism in Eukaryota, Metazoa, Chordata, Mammalia, Artiodactyla, Hippopotamidae.
CGUCCGCGGCGGAGUGGGAACCAGCGCCGUCGAGUUAGGGGAGCUGCAGGCGGGUGGAUCCGACAACUCCCUGGGAGGCGGACGCAGGCAGACGGGCGGGUACUGGGAACCCCAGCGGCAGGCCGUCCCCGCGGGUCUGUGAAGAAGGUCGGUGGCCCCAGCGGGCGCCAGUCAGCUUUAAGAAAAAAGAAAUCACUUCUGACUGUUCUGAAUAGCAAAAAUUAAGUGACUUUUACUGCAAACCAUGGCACUAUCAUUCCGGAAGGACUUAGAAAAGUACAAGGACCUCGAUGAAGAUGAACUCCUUGGGAAUCUAUCAGAAAUAGAACUGAAACAACUGGAAACUGUUCUCGAUGAUCUUGACCCUGAGAAUGCCCUUCUGCCUGCAGGGUUCCGGCAGAAGAACCAGACAUCAAAGUCUGCCACAGGGCCAUUUGAUAGAGAACACCUCCUUUCGUAUCUGGAGAAGGAAGCUUUGGAGCAUAAGGACCGGGAAGACUAUGUGCCCUACACUGGAGAAAAAAAAGGGAAAAUAUUUAUCCCUAAGCAGAAACCUGUACAGACUUUUACAGAAGAAAAAGUAUCUCUUGAUCCAGAACUAGAAGAAGCUUUGACAAGUGCUUCUGAUACAGAAUUGUGUGAUCUCGCAGCUAUUCUUGGGAUGCACAGUUUGAUAACAAACACACAGCUCUGCACUAUGGUGGGAAGCAGUCAUGGUGUGGACCAAGAACAUUUUUCAAAUGUGGUAAAAGGUGAAAAGAUUCUUCCGGUAUUUGAUGAGCCCCCAAAUCCAACCAAUGUUGAAGAGAGUUUACAGAGAAUUAAAGAAAAUGAUGUUCGUCUUGUUGAAGUUAAUUUGAAUAAUAUAAAGAAUAUCCCAAUUCCAACCCUGAAAGAUUUUGCGAAGGCUUUGGAAGCCAACACACAUGUGAAAUAUUUCAGUCUUGCAGCCACCCGAAGCAAUGACCCCGUUGCUGUUGCUUUUGCAGAUAUGCUGAGAGUGAACAAAAAUUUGAGGAGCUUAAAUAUGGAGUCCAACUUUAUUACAGGAGCUGGGAUUCAAGCACUGGUUGAUGCUUUGAGAGAUAAUGACACACUGGCCGAGCUGAAAAUCGACAAUCAGAGGCAGCAGUUGGGGACGGCUGUAGAAUUGGAAAUGGCCAAGAUGCUUGAGGAAAAUACCAAUAUCCUUAAAUUUGGAUAUCAGUUUACACAGCAGGGACCCCGAACCAGGGCAGCUAAUGCUAUAACAAAAAACAAUGACUUAGUCUCAACUUUUCAUUGAAAUAAUCCUACCUACUCGCCAUCUCCAGCUAAGAAGUAUCACAGCUGUAACAGCAAAGAGGUUAAUAUGGCGUACGUGCUAUAUUCGAUUGAAGUUUGUCUCACUUUACUAUCUUUACAUUAGCUAACUACAUAAUCAAUUUUCUAUACUUUUUCUGUUUGUUUUACUUCUAUCCUGUCAAUCUUGUUUAUAAUAUGCAUUUUUGAAAUAACGUGCAUUUUAACAUCUGAAAUGGUCUGCCAAUAACAUCCAUACACUACUGCAAUUCAAAAUUUUCUUGGAAAUGUUCUACUCUAAAGAAUUAUGUAGUUUGCCUUUCAGAUAUAUCCAUGUUGUUCAGAGAUCUAUACACAUGAAUUAAGUUUGUAUUUGAGGACUCAAUUCUCCUUUGGAUUUCUUCCCCUAAUAUUUCAGUAAACACAUGAAACUUGUUCUUCAUUGAUGUGGACUGAAAUUAGAGUCAGGGUGCAUCUAGUUAGAUAAGUAUAAAAAUGUUCAUGAGGAAGUGAUGCUUCAGUCAUCCUGGUUUUUAUUUUCUGGACAAGCUUUUAUGUACAUCACCUGACUGUCCAGUCUCAUCUGUUGAAGGCCAGUGAACAGAAGCCAGCAGUCAGAACAGCAUGAGAGCAGAAUCCACAGCCUGGCCAGGAGGCCGGUGCACCUGUUGGCUUUUCAUUCCUCUAUUAACAGCCAAUUCAGGCUCAACAAAGGCAAGUGUCUCCUACUUGCUUCCACAGAAGAGAGUAUAGAAAUUAACAGACCAACAAUAUAACUUAGAGGAACUUACUGGUAAGAGUAUCAAAACCAGCAAUGUGUACAUGCAAAUCCUCUAACUUUAUAAAAGCAAAAUUGACUUUCUUCACCCCCAAAAGAUGGCUGACCUCAGGACCAUCCCAUGACAUGACUGUGGUGGGUGAUGAGGCCGAGUACCCUUUAUUGAAUGCUUUCUAUAUUAACACUACACUGAGCAGCCUUUAAUUGCACAGCCGCGAGGUACAGCUAGCAUUAUUCUCCUGUUACAGAGGGUGAGUUGGGGCUGAGAGAGGUACCAUACUUGCCAAAGAGCACACUACAAAGAGCAACAGAUCCCCACUCCGUUGCUGACUCCAGAGCCCAUGCUUGUCGUCCUCUCUGAACAGGAGUUGCCACAGUGCUGAGGAUUGGCUCUGGUGGCUCUCAGCGACUGUUCUCUGGUAGCGGACAGGGGAGGUGAAGGAAGCAAGAUCCUGAUGCUGAAGACCUUGCCCUGCUGCUAGUGAUCACGGCCACGUGGCUCAGGGUCACCAGCCCGGGAAGAGGCUGGGGGGUCCUCAGUUCGCAAGAGACGAGUUGAAGGAGACCACCAGUAAGUCCGCCUCUGUAUAAUUUUUGGAAGACUUCGAAAGGUCACCAAGGGCUCAUAUUGUGAUAUCAGAUGUAAAAUUUUCCUGGGUAGAAGGGAAAAGACUGGAAAUCCUUUUUUUUUUUUUUUAAACUACAUGUAUCUUUUUUCUAGUUUAAGUUGUUACCAGUUUCAAAUUGUAAAAUCAAUAGUAGGUGAUAUUUUGUAUUCUAAAGCAUUAUUUCUACUUUCUGCUAAAAUUAGUUUUAAUUUAGCUUAAUUAAAUGGUUUAUGAUGAGUCUUGGGUUAAAAAAAUACAAUUGUAAAAAAGUUUAGUAAGUCAUUUAUGUAGAAUAACGUAAACAUUUUAAGGACCAAUCUUUUUUAAGUCAAAAAGGGACAUUGCUGAUGUCAGAAAGCUUUCCUUUUCCGUGGCAUGGAGACUUUUCCCUGUUUCAGAACACAUGAACUUGGCAAGAGUGUGCCUUUUGCUUCUAUCAAGAAAGCAAAAUGCUGACAUUUAAAGACAUGUGACUGAAAACUGGGCAUCUGUUUUGGAGUCAAAGCAGAUCUCUAGGAGAGAGGAAGUGGUCUCCUGUACAUUCCUCAGCACUGCACCUGUCCGAGGUGUCUCAGCAACACCUACAGUUUUUUUCAACAAAGUCAUCAGCUUGGCCAGGUGACACACUUUGUUUAAAAGUAUAGUUGAGUCUAAAUUCAUUGCAGUUUUUCAUUUUAAUAAUGUGGGCAUUAUUAACUUUUUGUGAAAGCUCAUAGUAAGAGUAUCUGAGUGGGAAAGCUAUUUUCUUCCCUGUAAAAGGCAAACAGCCAGCUCUCAAUUACUUAGGAUAAAAGAAAAAAGAAAGCUGUUGUUAAACACAUGAAAUCAAAGUUAAGAAAUGGUGGAGAUUAAGUCUGAGGAGCAUGCAAAACGGUCCUUUAAAUUGAUGUUACUGUAAAGUAAAUUAGAAACUGGCCUGGGUAUAAAUUAAGAGUUGCACAGGAUAGUGAGGUGUUCCUAUAUGCAACGCAGAAUUGUCUGAACUACAGAUUUUCCAACCAAUAGGAAAAUGGCUGUUGUUGACAAAUAUAACUUUUAUCAUCUGUUUCCUGUCAUCUUGUACUUUUUGGUCUACAUUGCAUAAAAGCAAUUUCUCAUAACAAAAGUUGUCUUCCUAUCACUCAAAGUAUUAAAGUACAUAGUUGAACAGUGUACUGUGGUGGGAAGACUGUUCCAGAUCCGAUAGUGUGGUAGACUAUUUGGACCUGUAUUCAUGCCCAUGUUUCAGGGCAGCCGCUGGAGCAGGAGAUGUCAGAGGCGUUCCAGCUACAGAAGACAGGGGACAAAGGAAUCUGAGCAAUCCUGGCCCCAACAACUCAGGCCCAGGUGUAUCACAUAAGGGAGAGUUUUCUAAAGGGAGGAAUCUCCUUCCAGAAUAGGGGAAGAGGUCUGUUGUUAAUUUUUUUUAAAACUUCUUGAAAUUGAAUUAUAAAAUGUGUGCUCCUUUGCCUUGGGCUGGACAGUUUAUCUAAUGAGCUAGGCAGCUCCUUCAUAAGGACUGAGUGUGUGUGGUGUUUUUUUUUUGGAAUCAGUAUCCAGUGUUUGAAAGGGAUCAAUGAUUGACUUUGCACUGUUCCGAUAUUCCCUUUCAGUUAUAGGGUGCUGGAGGUUUUUUUCAAGUUAGCAAGUCAAGCUCGCUCUCACUCGCUCUCUCCCUCUCUCCUUUUCAUAAAUGACUUUGGAAAUGUACUUGAUUUUAGAGACUGCACAGUUCCAGCAGGGUGGGGAGUCAGCAUGGAGCAGGUGUACACAGCUACCAGUACACUUUUAGCAAGGCUUCCUUGCCUGCCCUGCAAGUCAGUAAAUUGAUAAGUAUGUUACCCUUUGCUCCCAAAAAUUCUUUUUGAAGUAUAGGUAGGUGGGACCCUACCUAGAAUUGUAUAUUAUACUUCUGGGUAAUAUGUUUUUCACUAAUCAAAGUUUGAAGAAGUUGAGUGUUCUGCUUGUACCAUUCCAGUUCUGAGCUACAAUAGUUCAUUAUAUAAUUUAAAAAAAGAUUUCUUAAGAAGAGUGAACAUUUAUCUGAUUGAAUACAGAAAAUCUUUCAAGAAUUGUAAUUACAAGGGAGAAAACCGAUGUUUACUUUGAUCUUUAAAAAUCUGGCACAUCUUACCCUUUUAGUAACUUUCAGUAUUUCUUUAUUGAUCUAAAAUUUUAUAAUAUUGAUAGAUUAGAAUUGUGAAAUAGUCUUGAUUUUUAAACCAAAGAUUUUCUAAGACUUUUAAGUUUUUGUAGUGUAACUGGUAUAAACUUAAUCUGGUUAUCUAAGCAAAGGCUAGUCUUUGCAUUUUUAAAUUACUGUUUUUAAAAAACCUUUUAAUUUCCCAUUUUAUAAAAUUUUAUAUUCAUAUUUGUUGGAAGUUCUAAUUUUUCCAGUUUGUCUACAUGAAAUUAUAUGUAUUAAAAAUCAAUAUUAAUAAUAUUGAUAUUAUUAAAAUGGAUUUUGGUGCUAUAUUCUCGUAGCUAAAGCCUAGUAGAAGUCUAAAGUAUAGGUGAAAUACAUUUUCUAAGGGUGCCUGUCAUUUAAAAGACCAAAUAAACAUUUUGUGUUUAAAAAAAAUUAGCAGACUAUUAGAGAUUUUAAGGAGAAUUAUCUUUGUUGUUAAAUUGCAAAUUCUCGUUAUUUGAAUGAAAUAACCCACGUACUUGCUUUGUGCAGUAGGUGCCCUCUGGAAAAGUUCCAUGUAUAGAGCUUUGUAAAUUGUUUUUCCAUUGACAGUAUCUUUUUCAUUUAAAAAGGGGAGUCUCGGGGGGACUCGAGGGGGGAGAGUCAAGGAAGGGAGGGAAUACGGGGAUAUGUGUAUAAAAACAGAUGAUUGAACCUGAUGUACCCCCCCCCCAAAAAAUAAAAUUAAAAAAAAAAAAAAAAGGGGGGGAGUCCAUGGUAUAAUGAAAAUUAUAAAAGAAAAAAUGUUUUGAUAAAAUGUUAGUCAUGUUCUGUUGUACAUUAUUUUAACCUUUGCCGCCAUUAAAAUAAGAUUAAAUGAUU